Molecule: ribosomal RNA, 570 nt
Filed under: uncultured archaeon
Lineage: Archaea
Description: bacterial SSU rRNA
Rfam family: Archaeal small subunit ribosomal RNA
Source: RNAcentral
GGUUGAUCCUGCCGGAGGUUACUGCUAUCGGUGUUCGACUAAGCCAUGCGAGUCAAAUGUUCUUCGUGAACAUGGCGGACUGCUCAGUAACACGUGGAUAACCUGCCCUUAGGUUCGGCAUAACUCCGGGAAACUGGAGAUAAUUCCGAAUAGGUCAAAUAUGCUGGAAUGCUUUUUGGCCAAAAGACCUCGGUUGCCUAAGGAUGGAUCUGCGGUCUAUCAGGUUGUAGUGGGUGUAACGUACCUACUAGCCUACGACGGAUAUGGGUUGUGAGAGCAAGAGCCCAGAGAUGGAUUCUGAGACAUGAAUCCAGGCCCUACGGGGCGCAGCAGGCGCGAAAACUUUACAAUGCGGGAAACCGCGAUAAGGGGACACCGAGUGCCAGCAUUUAUGUUGGCUGUCCACAUGUGUAAACGGCAUGUGUUAGCAAGGGCCGGGCAAGACCGGUGCCAGCCGCCGCGGUAACACCGGCGGCCCGAGUGGUAAUCACUUUUAUUGGGUCUAAAGGGUCCGUAGCCGGUUUGAUCAGUUCUUCGGGAAAUCUGACAGCUCAACUGUUAGGCUUCCGG